RNAcentral lists this ribosomal RNA (807 nucleotides) under uncultured bacterium. Its description in RNAcentral is "bacterial SSU rRNA". It matches the Rfam family "Bacterial small subunit ribosomal RNA", at positions 8 to 777 of the family's 1533-position model. The record is from RNAcentral.
AGAGUUUGAUCCUGGCUCAGGAUGAACGCUAGCGGCAGGCCUAAUACAUGCAAGUCGAACGGAUAGCACGCCCUGCGAGGACUGCUUCUAGNUGGCCGAAUCGGGUGUCGUAAUCGACGUUUAUAGNCAACCCUGCCGCCACACAACCGCGGGGGAAUAAACCCUGGUCUAAAAGCCGGGGGCUAAACCCCCAUAGUGCCCUUGAUGUCACCUGGGCGCUGAGGGACAAACAUUGAUGGGUAGAGGAUGGGGCUUCCUUCUGAUUACGUAUUGGGCGGGGCUACUGGCCCACCAAGCCCAUUAAUCAUUACGGGNACUAAAAGAAUAUGGAGCCCCACAUGGGUACUGGGAAUACGGGACCCAACUCCUACGGUAGGCACCAGUAGGGAAUAUUGGGCAAUGGGCACAAUGCCUAACCCAGCCAUGCCGCUUGGAGGAUAAAGGCGCUCAGCGUCGUAAACUCCUUUUAUCUACGAAAAACGUGAUCCUUAUGAUGGUACUUGACGGUAGUAGUGGAAUAAGACACCGGCUAACUCCGUGCCAGCAGCCGCAGUAAUACGGAGGGUGCAAGCGAUGUCCGGAUCCAUCGGGUUUACAUGGUGCGUACGUGGCGUCUCAAGUCUGGUCUGAUAGCACGCGGCUCAACGUGUGAUGUGUCUGGAAACUGAGGCGCUAGACUGAGUAGGCUGUAUCAGGANCUGGUCAUGUAGCGGUGAGAUGCAUAGAUAUGACCCAGAACCACUAUUGCUGCGGCUGGCUACUACGACUUGAAUGACGCUGAGGCACGACAGCAUGGGUACAACCAGA